This 253-nucleotide ribosomal RNA is filed under the name uncultured bacterium. RNAcentral describes it as "partial 16S ribosomal RNA". It matches the Rfam family "Bacterial small subunit ribosomal RNA", at positions 524 to 776 of the family's 1533-position model. The record is from RNAcentral.
UACGUAGGGUGCAAGCGUUGUCCGGAAUUAUUGGGCGUAAAGAGCUCGUAGGCGGUUUGUCGCGUCUGCUGUGAAAACUCGGGGCUUAACCCCGGGCCUGCAGUGGGUACGGGCAGACUAGAGUGCGGUAGGGGAGACUGGAAUUCCUGGUGUAGCGGUGAAAUGCGUAGAUAUCAGGAGGAACACCGGUGGCGAAGGCGGGUCUCUGGGCCGUAACUGACGCUGAGGAGCGAAAGCGUGGGGAGCAAACAGG